Molecule: long non-coding RNA, 789 nt
Organism: Carassius carassius (crucian carp)
Lineage: Eukaryota; Metazoa; Chordata; Actinopteri; Cypriniformes; Cyprinidae
Exons: 3
Source: RefSeq, a predicted model, not a curated record
UUGUUUUUGUAAAUGUUAGAAGCCAGAGACAUGGGAGAUCAUCAUUCUUUUGAGAUUUUAUAACUCAAACCAACUUUGGAGUUGUCUGAUUUGGAGAGUCAUCGUUCUUGGUCUUCCCUCUUAAAGGCCACUGAUGAAGAACAGGUGGUGACUGGAUGAAUGCUGGUCAAAGAAGAGAACAUCCUUCCCUCUAAACUGAUGCAGCAGUGGUUUUAAAGGUGGACGCUGACCUGGAGGAUGUAGAAGAUGUCACAUGUGCUGAUGGGGCUUCUUCAUGACUACAUCAAUUAUGCUAAAGAGAUUAUGAUCAAGUUGACAGUGAUGAAUGAUCUGUAUUCAUGGACUAUGAAACAAACUGUAAGUGUAUAAUUUGUAAAAACAAUGUUAAAUGCUUUUUCUGUGUUGUUUAGUAGAAGAGUUUACACAGUCAUUCAUACACAUGCUCACAUUCUUUCACACACACACACACACACACACACACACACACACACACAUGCGUCUGUUAAAUGUUAUAAUAUCAGAGUUAAUGUUGUGGUUUAUUUGUGUACUGUCAUGCCAGAAUAGUUGGUAAAGAACCUAACUAAUAGUACAUUUAUUGUAUAAUAGUGUUUUCGUACAAUAUAUACAAUUGAACAAAGUCCAGUUUGAUCUUAAGUUAUAUUCAACAAAUGUUCAAUGCUUUAUUUAUGAACUCUGUAGCUGUUAAUAACAUACUUUUCUGCAUUUCUUCUUACAUGUUACUUGUUGACUUUUCUCUUGUUUUUAAUAAAUAUUUUCCUUUUGAUCAUU